RNAcentral lists this transfer RNA (107 nucleotides) under Chelydra serpentina (North American snapping turtle). Its description in RNAcentral is "tRNA-Leu". It matches the Rfam family "tRNA". From Rfam's summary of the family: Transfer RNA (tRNA) molecules are approximately 80 nucleotides in length. Their secondary structure includes four short double-helical elements and three loops (D, anti-codon, and T loops). Lineage: Eukaryota; Metazoa; Chordata; Testudines; Chelydridae. The record is from RNAcentral.
GUCAGGAUGGCCGAGUGGUCUAAGGCGCCAGACUCAAGGCUCUCUCUUUCCCAGCUGGGUGUUCUGGUCUCCCUGCAGAGGCGUGGGUUCAAAUCCCACUCCUGACA